Molecule: ribosomal RNA, 255 nt
Filed under: uncultured bacterium
Lineage: Bacteria
Description: partial 16S ribosomal RNA
Rfam family: Bacterial small subunit ribosomal RNA
Source: RNAcentral
UACGUAGGGUGCGAGCGUUAAUCGGAAUUACUGGGCGUAAAGCGUGCGCAGGCGGUUUUGUAAGUCUGACGUGAAAUCCCCGGGCUUAACCUGGGAAUUGCGUUGGAGACUGCAAGGCUGGAGUCUGGCAGAGGGGGGGUAGAAUUCCACGUGUAGCAGUGAAAUGCGUAGAGAUGUGGAGGAACACCGAUGGCGAAGGCAGCCCCCCUGGGUCAAGACUGACGCUCAUGCACGAAAGCGUGGGGAGCAAACAGG